GACGAACGCUGGCGGCGUGCUUAACACAUGCAAGUCGAACGGAAAGGCCCUGCUUUUGUGGGGUGCUCUAGUGGCGAACGGGUGAGUAACACGUGAGUAACCUGCCCUUGACUUUGGGAUAACUUCAGGAAACUGGGGCUAAUCCCGGCUAGGAGCUCCUGCUGCAUGGUGGGGGUUGGAAAGUUUCGGCGGUUGGGGAUGGACUCGCGGCUUAUCAGCUUGUUGGUGGGGUAGUGGCUUACCAAGGCUUUGACGGGUAGCCGGCCUGGGAGGGUGACCGGCCACAUUACGACUGAGCUACGGCCCAGACUCCUACGGGAGGCAACGGUGGGGAAUAUUACACAGGGGGCGGGAGCCUGGUGCGACCCCGCCGCGCGCGGGAUGACGGCCUUCGGGUUGUAAACCGCUGUCGCCUGUGACGAAGCGUGAGUGACGGUACCGGGUGAAGAAGCACCGGCUAACUACGUG
This 468-nucleotide ribosomal RNA is filed under the name uncultured bacterium. RNAcentral's name for it is "partial 16S ribosomal RNA". It matches the Rfam family "Bacterial small subunit ribosomal RNA", at positions 28 to 507 of the family's 1533-position model. The record is from RNAcentral.